This 468-nucleotide ribosomal RNA is filed under the name uncultured bacterium. RNAcentral describes it as "partial 16S ribosomal RNA". It matches the Rfam family "Bacterial small subunit ribosomal RNA", at positions 28 to 507 of the family's 1533-position model. The record is from RNAcentral.
GACGAACGCUGGCGGCGUGCUUAACACAUGCAAGUCGAACGGAAAGGCCCUGCUUUUGUGGGGUGCUCGAGUGGCGAACGGGUGAGUAACACGUGAGUAACCUGCCCUUGACUUUGGGAUAACUUCAGGAAACUGGGGCUAAUACCGGAUAUGAGCUCCUGCUGCAUGGUGGGGGUUGGAAAGUUUCGGCGGUUGGGGAUGGACUCGCGGCUUAUCAGCUUGUUGGUGGGGUAGUGGCUUACCAAGGCUUUGACGGGUAGCCGGCCUGAGAGGGUGACCGGCCACAUUGGGACUGCGAUACGGACCAGACUCCUACGGGAGGCAGCAGGCGGGAAUAUGGCACAAUGGGCGGAAGCCUGAUGCAGCAACGCCGCGUGCGGGAUGACGGCCUUCGGGUUGUAAGCCGCUUUCGCCUGUGACGAAGCGUGAGUGACGGUAAUGGGUAAAGAAGCAACGGCUAACUACGUG